RNAcentral lists this ribosomal RNA (466 nucleotides) under uncultured bacterium. Its description in RNAcentral is "bacterial SSU rRNA". It matches the Rfam family "Bacterial small subunit ribosomal RNA", at positions 28 to 507 of the family's 1533-position model. The record is from RNAcentral.
GAUGAACGCUGGCGGCGUGCCUAACACAUGCAAGUCGAACGCGCAGCCCUGGACUUCGGUUUGGGGUGGGCGAGUGGCGAACGGGUGAGUAACACGUCGGUGACCUAUCCUUUAGAGGGGGAUAACCGCUGGAAACGGCGGCUAAAAACCCCAUGACCUCGCAGCCGAAGGGUUGGGAGGAAAGACUCCGGUGCUAAAGGAGGGGCCGGCGGCCUAUCAGGUAGUUGGUGUGGUAAGAGCGCACCAAGCCGAUGACGGGAAGGGGGCGUGAGAGCGUGGCCCCCCACACGGGGACUGAGACACGGCCCCGACUCCUACGGGAGGCAGCAGUGAGGGAUCUUGCGCAAUGGGGGCAACCCUGACGCAGCGACGCCGCGUGGGUGAGGAAGCCCUUCGGGGUGUAAAGCCCUUUUCUGGGGGAAGAGGAAGGACGGUACCCCAAGAAGAAGUCACGGCUAACUACGUG